UUUCAAAAUCCCCGAGGAAAGAUCCAGAAGCGGGGAAGGCCCUGUUAUUGGCUCGGAGAAGAGUAAUGGCGGAGAGCAAGCGCGUCUCUCUCCCCAGCUCGCCUCUCUCUCCCCUCCUCCCCUCCUCCGCCCUCGGUGGCGGUGGCGGAGGAAGAGGCGGCGCGCUCGACGUCCGAUCGAUGUCCUUUUCUUCUUUUGGUUCGAGGCUGGAGGAGUCCGUCAAGAACACGAUCUCGGAGAACCCCGUCGUCAUCUACUCCAAGAAUUGGUGCUCGUGAGUUCCGAUUUCUCUCUCUGAUGACAUCGAUCGAUCGAUCGAUUCGCUUACGUUUUUGUUGAUGGGGAAUGGAGGUAUUCGAUGGAGGUCAAGUCGCUCUUCAAGAUGAUCGGAGUUGAUUCCCUAGUCAUAGAACUUGAUUAGCUCGGUCCCCCAGGGCCACAACUGCAAAAGGUGUUGGAAAGAUUGACUGGACAAUACACUGUUCCAAAUGUUUUUAUUGAUACUGUAAAACUUCACGGCAAAGGAGAGCUAACCACUUUACUAUCAGAACUGAACAUGGGCAGCAAGAGCUUGCAGCAGCCAGGAAAUUGUUCUCCAAUGAAUGCCAUUAUUCAAGGACAUCUUGAUGGUUAGAUGUGAGCAUUGCUAAAGCUGCAAGAACGGCACUGGCCUUGAUGGCCACAAAUCUUGCACGUUGGUUCCUCUUGCUAUCAACUGCUGGAGAUUUAGGAGCUUCUUCGGCCUUUUCGGCCCUCUUCAGCAGCCUGUCCGUGGAAGAUAUCCAUCAUAUUUGAAUCAAUUCAGGGUGCACAUGAAAACACAGAAUCAGCUGCUUGAAAACUGUCAGUGCCACACAUCCAUGGAUCUAGAGGUGUCAAAAUGGGCUGCUCGGGCUGGCCUGGCCCAUCUGGGCCUAUGAGUUAAUCGGGCAGGGCCAACCCCUGUCAGUUAUUGUUAUUCGGAUCAGACCCAAUCCGGCCCAUAUUCCAAAGCCCCUAACCAAACCCCACUCUAGCCCUUAUAUUCAGGGUGCAGCCCUUAUUUCUUAUUUAUUUAGAUAUUUUAUCUAAUUAAAUUUAUUUCACUCCUUACUAGUGAAGUAGAUAUUUGUUGUUAAAAAAAAAGAAGUUAAGUAGAUAUUAAACUUUAAUCUUUAAAAAUAAAAUUGAAGAUACUAUACAAACACAAGUUUAAUAUUGAAAUAAUCUAUUUUUAUAAUUAAAAUCAAUUCCUUAUAAUUUGAUAUUUAUAUAUGUAUUUUGUCAUUUAAUUUUUUGUUUAUAAUUUUAAAUUAUUAUUGUUGUUUGUUUGGAGAUUGUAUUUAAAUAAAUUUGUAUGACUACUUAUGUAAAUCUUAAACAUUAAUAAAAUACUUUAAACAUAAAAUUAAACAUAAAAUAUAAUCUUAUUAUUGAAAUACCUUAAUUUUAUAUAUGAAAAAGUAAUGUAUUGUAAAUUCACAAUUUACAUCAAAUAGGUAUGAUAUGAAAAAUAAAUUAAAAUAAAAAAAGAUAAAUUAUAAAAAUUCUCUUUGUGAUUAGGUCAAAAUUAUACUUAAAUUCAAUAGUUUUAAAAACUUACAUCUACACCUUUUACGUUUUCUUAAACUCUAUAGUUUAACCCAGCGUGUUAGACAUCUUCUUAAUUCACAAUGGAAUUCAGAUGUUAUGUAAUAAAUUUUUUUUAAAAUAACCAAAAUAGCCUUCCAUGGAGGAUGAGCAAAAUAAAAAUCCUUCUUCCCUCCAACCUUCCGACCUACCCCACCACCCUAGAACCUCAAUUGCCUACGUGCACAUCCUUGAAACCUCCGCGAAGAAGCACGUCCUCCCAUCCCUUUUCAUCCUCCUCUCCCCUCCCUUGUCUUGCCUAAUCCUCUCCUUUUCUCCAUCGCCGCCAUCUCUGCCACAAGACCGCCCGUGCCGCCGAUGGCCCCCUCCACUCCUCUGUCGAUGCCAAGCUCUAGGUCAUUCGACAGAGUGCCAAUUCUUCAAAGCAGGGCACCCCCUCCCACGCAAUUUCACCCUUCAGCCCAUUCACAAUGCUGACUGGCGACCAAAAAUGGAAGUCGGCCUACUCGCUUUGAACAAAUCUUUCAUUUGGAAGAUCAAGGCAAGGUAGAAGC
Elaeis guineensis (African oil palm) is the source of this 2123-nucleotide RNA transcript. It is a transcript of the gene named monothiol glutaredoxin-S10, with no coding region annotated. Lineage: Eukaryota; Viridiplantae; Streptophyta; Magnoliopsida; Arecales; Arecaceae. The record is from RefSeq and is a predicted model, not a curated record.